UAGGGAAUCUUCGGCAAUGGGGGCAACCCUGACCGAGCAACGCCGCGUGAGUGAAGAAGGUUUUCGGAUCGUAAAGCUCUGUUGUAAGUCAAGAACGAGUGUGAGAGUGGAAAGUUCACACUGUGACGGUAGCUUACCAGAAGGGGACGGCUAACUACGUGCCAGCAGCCGCGGUAAUACGUAGGUCCCGAGCGUUGUCCGGAUUUAUUGGGCGUAAAGCGAGCGCAGGCGGUUUGAUAAGUCUGAAGUUAAAGGCUGUGGCUCAACCAUAGUUCGCUUUGGAAACUGUCAAACUUGAGUGCAGAAGGGGAGAGUGGAAUUCCAUGUGUAGCGGUGAAAUGCGUAGAUAUAUGGAGGAACACCGGUGGCGAAAGCGGCUCUCUGGUCUGUAACUGACGCUGAGGCUCGAAAGCGUGGGGAGCGAACAGGAUUAGAUACCCUGGUAGUCCACGCCGUAAACGAUGAGUGCUAGGUGUUGGGUCCUUUCCGGGACUCAGUGCCGCAGCUAACGCAUUAAGCACUCCGCCUGGGGAGUACGACCGCAAGGUUG
RNAcentral lists this ribosomal RNA (550 nucleotides) under uncultured bacterium. Its description in RNAcentral is "bacterial SSU rRNA". It matches the Rfam family "Bacterial small subunit ribosomal RNA", at positions 355 to 896 of the family's 1533-position model. The record is from RNAcentral.